Molecule: ribosomal RNA, 460 nt
Filed under: uncultured bacterium
Lineage: Bacteria
Description: partial 16S ribosomal RNA
Rfam family: Bacterial small subunit ribosomal RNA
Source: RNAcentral
CCUACGGGGGGCAGCAGUGAGGAAUAUUGGUCAAUGGACGAGAGUCUGAACCAGCCAAGUAGCGUGAAGGAUGACUGCCCUAUGGGUUGUAAACUUCUUUUAUAGGGGAAUAAAACGUGGCACGUGUGGGAUUUUGUAUGUACCAUAUGAAUAAGGAUCGGCUAACUCCGUGCCAGCAGCCGCGGUAAUACGGAGGAUCCGAGCUUUUUCCGGAUUUAUUGGGUUUAAAGGGAGCGUAGGUGGUUUGUUAAGUCAGUUGUGAAAGUUUGGGGCUCAACCGUAAAAUUGCAGUUGAAACUGGCAGUCUUGAGUACAGUAGCGGUGGGCGGAAUUCGUGGUGUAGCGGUGAAAUGCUUAGAUAUCACGCAGAACUCCGAUUGCGAAGGCAGUUCACUGGACUGCACCUGACACUGAGGCUCGAAAGUGUGGGUAUCAAACAGGAUUAGAUACCCUAGUAGUC